AACAAAAACAUGUCCUUUUGUUUAUUUAAAAGGUCUGGCCUGCCCAGUGAUAUAUAUUUAACGGCCGCGGUAUAUUGACCGUGAAAGGUAGCAUAAUCAUUAGUCUUUUAAUAGGGGGCUGGUAUGAAAGGUUAAACGAAACAUUGACUGUCUUAUUUAUAAGUAAUAUAAUUUAACUUUUAAGUCAAAAGGCUUAAAUUUUCUUGGAGGACGAGAAGACCCUAUAGAGCUUUACAUUAAAUUUUUUAAUUCUUUUUAGUUUAUAAUUUGGUUUUGAUUUAUUUAUUGUUUUGUUGGGGUGACAAUAAAAUAUAAUUAACUUUUUACAUAAUUUACAUUAAUCUAUGUAAGUUUGAUCCAAUAUUAUUGAUCAUUAGAUUAAGUUACCUUAGGGAUAACAGCGUAAUCUUUCUUGGGAGUUCAAAUUUACAGAAAGGCUUGCGACCUCGAUGUUGGAUUAAGAUAAUAAUUAGGUGCAGUAGCUUAAUAAAUAGGUCUGUUCGACCUUUAAAUUCUUACGUGAU
Molecule: ribosomal RNA, 524 nt
Filed under: Argia sp. 1 RMC-2013
Lineage: Eukaryota; Metazoa; Arthropoda; Insecta; Odonata; Coenagrionidae
Description: partial 16S ribosomal RNA
Rfam family: Bacterial large subunit ribosomal RNA
Source: RNAcentral